GUAGGUGAACCUGCGGAAGGAUCAUUACCGAGUACCGGGUCUCUCAGGCCCUUACUCCCACCCUUUGUGUACCAAACCUUUAUUCAGUUGCCUUGGCGGGUCCGCUCUCGGGCGCCCGCCAGGGGAACCCCUUUAAACUCUUGUCAAUUGGGUCGUCUGAGAAAAAUUCAAAUGAAUUAAAACUUUCAACAACGGAUCUCUUGGUUCUG
This 209-nucleotide unclassified non-coding RNA is filed under the name rhizosphere metagenome. Its description in RNAcentral is "partial ribosomal RNA internal transcribed spacer region". The record is from RNAcentral.